This 406-nucleotide ribosomal RNA is filed under the name uncultured bacterium. RNAcentral's name for it is "partial 16S ribosomal RNA". It matches the Rfam family "Bacterial small subunit ribosomal RNA", at positions 30 to 526 of the family's 1533-position model. The record is from RNAcentral.
AUUGAACGCUGGCGGCAGGCCUAACACAUGCAAGUCGAACGAGUGGCGGACGGGUGAGUAAUGUCUGGGAAACUGCCUGAUGGAGGGGGAUAACUACUGGAAACGGUAGCUAAUACCGCAUCCCAUCGGAUGUGCCCAGAUGGGAUUAGCUAGUAGGUGGGGUAACGGCCCACCUAGGCGACGAUCCCUAGCUGGUCUGAGAGGAUGACCAGCCACAGUGGAACGGAGACACGGUCCAUACUCCGACUGGAGGCAGCAGUGGGGAAUAUUGCACAAUGGGCGCAAGCCUGAUGCAGCCAUGCGGCGUGUAUGAAGAAGGCCUUCGGGUGGUAAAGUACUUUCAGCGGGGAGGCGUUACCCGCAGAAGAAGCACCGGCUAACUCCGUGCCAGCAGCCGCGGUAAUUC